AGCAGUCGCCACGGGAAUACGAAGGGGGCUAGCGUUGCUCGGAAUGACUGGGCGUAAAGGGCGCGUAGGCGGUUUGUACAGUUGGAUGUGAAAUUCCUGGGCUUAACCUGGGGGCUGCAUUCAAUACGUGCAGGCUUGAGUGUGGAAGAGGGUUGUGGAAUUCCCAGUGUAGAGGUGAAAUUCGUAGAUAUUGGGAAGAACACCGGUGGCGAAGGCGGCAACCUGGUCCAUGACUGACGCUGAGGCGCGAAAGCGUGGGGAGCAAACAGGAUUAGAUACCCCCGUAGUCCCUGUCUCUUAUAC
RNAcentral lists this ribosomal RNA (303 nucleotides) under uncultured bacterium. RNAcentral describes it as "partial 16S ribosomal RNA". It matches the Rfam family "Bacterial small subunit ribosomal RNA", at positions 507 to 807 of the family's 1533-position model. The record is from RNAcentral.